Molecule: ribosomal RNA, 1463 nt
Filed under: uncultured bacterium
Lineage: Bacteria
Description: 16S ribosomal RNA
Rfam family: Bacterial small subunit ribosomal RNA
Source: RNAcentral
AGUGGCGAAAGGGGCAGUAAUGCGUGGGUAACCUACCCUGGGGACUGGGAUAGCCUUCCUAACGGAAGGGUAAUACCGGGCAAUGUAGCUGGGAGGCAUCUUCUGGCUACCAGAUGAGUUUCGCCCUGGGAGGGGCUCACGUCGUAUUAGCUAGUUGGUGAGGUAAUGGCUCACCAAGGCAAAGAUGCGUAGCGGGUGUGAGAGCACGACCCGCGCCACUGGCACUGAGACACUGGCCAGACACCUACGGGUGGCUGCAGUCGAGGAUCUUUGGCAAUGGACGCAAGUCUGACCAAGCGACGCCGCGUGUGCGAUGAAGGCCUUCGGGUUGUAAAGCACUGUCGAGGGGGAGGAAGCCGCAAGGUUGACCGAUCCCUGGAGGAAGCACGGGCUAAGUUCGUGCCAGCAGCCGCGGUAGACGAACCGUGCGAACGUUGUUCGGAAUCACUUGGGCUUUAAGGGCGCGUAGGCCGGCUCGCCCAAAGUUCAGGGGUUGAAAUACUUUCAGCUUAACUUGGAGAAGUCCCUUGAUACUGGCGGGCUUCGAGGNAGUUAGGGCCAUUGUGGAACUUUCUGGUGGGACCGGUUAAAUGGCGUUGAUAUCAAGAANGGAACCCCGGUUGGCNGAAAACGAACGUGCUUGGACCUUCNUUCUUGACCGCUGAGGCGCCGAAAAGCUAAGGGGAAGCCAACGGGGAUUAGAUACCCCCGGUAGUUCCUAGCCCCUAAACGAUGGGUACUAGAUUGUAGACUUGACAUGGGUUUACAGUCGAAGCAAAAGUGUUAAGUUACCCCCGCCUGGGGAGUAUGGUCGCAAGGCUGAAACUCAAAGGAAUUGACGGGGGCUCACACAAGCGGUGGAGCAUGUGGCUUAAUUCGAGGCUACGCGAAGAACCUUAUCCUGGGCUUGACAUGUGCGAAAGCGCUAGCAAGUAGGGAGCGGAAACGUUUCCCCAACGGUAUCCAGUCCGGAAGCUAGUACAGGUGCUGCAUGGCUGUCGUCAGCUCGUGUCGUGAGAUGUCGGGUUAAGUCCCAUAACGAGCGAAACCCUUGCCUCUAGUUGCCAAUAUUAAGUUAGGGACUCUAGAGGGACUGCCGGUGUUAAACCGGAGGAAGGUGGGGAUGACGUCAAGUCCUCAUGGCCUUUAUGCCCAGGGCUGCACACGUGCUACAAUGGUGCGUACAAAGGGACGCAAACCCGCGAGGGGGAGCAAAUCCCAAAAAACGCACCCCAGUUCAGAUCGAAGGCUGCAACUCGCCUUCGUGAAGUUGGAAUCGCUAGUAAUCGCAGGUCAGCAACACUGCGGUGAAUGUGUUCCUGAGCCUUGUACACACCGCCCGUCAAGCCACGAAAGGGAGGGACGGCCGAAGUCGUCUUCACAGACGCCGACGCCGGACUUUCUGAUUGGGACUAAGUCGUACAAGGUAACCGUAGGGGAACCUGCGGCUGGAUCACCUCCUU